RNAcentral lists this long non-coding RNA (200 nucleotides) under Elaeis guineensis (African oil palm). Its description in RNAcentral is "long non-coding RNA (EGUI_LNC068289)". The record is from RNAcentral. Lineage: Eukaryota; Viridiplantae; Streptophyta; Magnoliopsida; Arecales; Arecaceae.
CCAUCAUUCUUUUUCUAAUCCAUCUUGUACUUUUUUAUUGGAUGUAUGAUCUAAAAAAUCAAUUAUUGACUGACAUAUUAUAUUAAUUCUAGGAUAUAUUUUUAUACUUGAUUUAUUGAAAUUAGUAAAAUUGAUAAUUAUUUUUAUUCUAGAGUAAUGUAUCCUAGAAUCGUCUAAGGAGUUAAUGGUCAAUGAUAUAU